GUUAAUGUAGCUUAAUAAUAAAAGCAAGGCACUGAAAAUGCCUAGAUGAGUAACACAUACUCCAUAAACA
This 70-nucleotide transfer RNA is filed under the name Tragulus kanchil. Its description in RNAcentral is "tRNA-Phe". It matches the Rfam family "tRNA". From Rfam's summary of the family: Transfer RNA (tRNA) molecules are approximately 80 nucleotides in length. Their secondary structure includes four short double-helical elements and three loops (D, anti-codon, and T loops). Lineage: Eukaryota; Metazoa; Chordata; Mammalia; Artiodactyla; Tragulidae. RNAcentral also lists the same sequence under 1 other name. The record is from RNAcentral.